AGUGAACGCUGGCGGUAGGCCUAACACAUGCAAGUCGAACGGCAGCACAGUAAGAGCUUGCUCUUACGGGUGGCGAGUGGCGGACGGGUGAGGAAUACAUCGGAAUCUACUUUUUCGUGGGGGAUAACGUAGGGAAACUUACGCUAAUACCGCAUACGACCUACGGGUGAAAGCAGGGGAUCUUCGGACCUUGCGCGAUUGAAUGAGCCGAUGUCGGAUUAGCUAGUUGGCGGGGUAAAGGCCCACCAAGGCGACGAUCCGUAGCUGGUCUGAGAGGAUGAUCAGCCACACUGGGACUGAGACACGGUCCAGACUCCUACGGGAGGCAGCAGUGGGGAAUAUUGGACAAUGGGCGCAAGCCUGAUCCAGCCAUACCGCGUGGGUGAAGAAGGCCUUCGGGUUGUAAAGCACUUUUGUUGGGAAAGAAAAGCAGCAGGUUAAUACCCCGCUGUGCUGACGGUACCCAAAGAAUAAGCACCGGCUAACUUCGUG
RNAcentral lists this ribosomal RNA (492 nucleotides) under uncultured bacterium. RNAcentral describes it as "partial 16S ribosomal RNA". It matches the Rfam family "Bacterial small subunit ribosomal RNA", at positions 29 to 507 of the family's 1533-position model. The record is from RNAcentral.